Aphis gossypii (cotton aphid) is the source of this 1064-nucleotide long non-coding RNA. RefSeq lists it as uncharacterized. The record is from RefSeq and is a predicted model, not a curated record. The transcript is spliced from 3 exons. NCBI's taxonomy places the organism in Eukaryota, Metazoa, Arthropoda, Insecta, Hemiptera, Aphididae.
CCAAUCAAAAAAUAACAACUGACAAAAUAAUGAAAGACAUAACGACACGUAUAGUAUGAAUUAUGAAGUAAAUAUUAAUUAGUACGAUGGCAAACAAUCGUGAAAGAACUAUUAUUAAUUAUUAUUUAUUAUCCAAUUCAGUACCGUGAAAAUGACGUGGGCAGUGAUGUUAUUAUCGUCGUGUGAUUGAACUUUAAAUUGCAAAUACCCAAUGCAACGAUACAUAAAUCGCAACAAACGCGUUAUACAAUGCGCAGUAUAGGAACGGAUAAUGGAUAGAUAUACCUACAUGCUAUUGCGAUUCAAUAACGACAUAAAAUACUGCAUUAGGUUAUCCUGCAGUGUCGUGGGACGCGGAUAAAAAUACUGAAUGGCUAUAAAGUAUAGUUGAGUUUAUAAUAAAUGCACAUGACCCUACUGCAGGGCCUGAUUUACGUUUUUUAGGUUUAGGUAGCAUAUUACAUACACAUAACUCGAUAUAGGGAGGGGGGUGGUAGCUAUUAAAAAUAAAAAAACAUCGACUCUUGAUGAUAGAUUUAAUAGUAUUAUAUUCGAUCCGGGCACAAUAUGUAAUAUAUAAUAAUAUGUACAUUCGUUUUGCGUGAGAGAGAAGAAUUAGUGGUAAAAAACCGACGACAUAGGCGAUUAGACCUUUUGUCUAUGUACAUCUUAUGGAUAUUAUAUUACACCAUCGACGCUCAUCGAGUGGACGGGCAAGACGGCACUUGACCCUUUUCCUGGAAAAAGUAAUUUUUUUAAUCGUUUUUUAAAAAUAUCAUUUCGUGUGUAUUAUAUUAUAUAGUACUACCAUUUAAAUUAAAAAAAAAAAACUAUACUAAUAACUGUAAAUGAAAUGUGUUAUACCAUUGUUUAGAACGCUUUUCUUUGAAUUUAUCUGAUGGUUUCUAGAAUUUAUUUUUUGAUUAUCCUAAAAAACGGGAGAACGCAUGAGUAUUCAAAUUCAUCAAAGUUUAAACUUCAGAGAUUCAGAACAAAUAUUUUUGGAAUUAAGUUUACUUUCUUUUUUAAUGAUUCUAAAAUAAAUAAUUGUUGAUAUUUUAUAC